RNAcentral lists this ribosomal RNA (451 nucleotides) under uncultured bacterium. RNAcentral describes it as "partial 16S ribosomal RNA". It matches the Rfam family "Bacterial small subunit ribosomal RNA", at positions 354 to 796 of the family's 1533-position model. The record is from RNAcentral.
GUGGGGAAUAUUGGACAAUGGGGGGAACCCUGAUCCAGCCAUGCCGCGUGUGUGAAGAAGGCCUUUUGGUUGUAAAGCACUUUAAGCGAGGAGGAGGCUACCGAGAUUAAUACUCUUGGAUAGUGGACGUUACUCGCAGAAUAAGCACCGGCUAACUCUGUGCCAGCAGCCGCGGUAAUACAGAGGGUGCAAGCGUUAAUCGGAUUUCCUGGGCGUAAAGCGCGCGUAGGUGGCCAAUUAAGUCAAAUGUGAAAUCCCCGAGCUUAACUUGGGAAUUGCAUUCGAGGCUGGGUGGCUAGAGUAUGGGAGAGGAUGGUAGAAUUCCAGGUGUAGCGGUGAAAUGCGUAGAGAUCUGGAGGAAUACCGAUGGCGAAGGCAGCCAUCUGGCCUAAUACUGACACUGAGGUGCGAAAGCAUGGGGAGCAAACAGGAUUAGAAACCCCUGUAGUCC